RNAcentral lists this ribosomal RNA (490 nucleotides) under uncultured bacterium. RNAcentral's name for it is "bacterial SSU rRNA". It matches the Rfam family "Bacterial small subunit ribosomal RNA", at positions 501 to 992 of the family's 1533-position model. The record is from RNAcentral.
CUACGUGCCAGCAGCCGCGGUAAUACGGAGGGUGCGAGCGUUAAUCKGAAUAACUGGGCGUAAAGGGCACGCAGGCGGUGACUUAAGUGAGGUGUGAAAGCCCCGGGCUUAACCUGGGAAUUGCAUUUCAUACUGGGUCGCUAGAGUACUUUAGGGAGGGGUAGAAUUCCACGUGUAGCGGUGAAAUGCGUAGAGAUGUGGAGGAAUACCGAAGGCGAAGGCAGCCCCUUGGGAAUGUACUGACGCUCAUGUGCGAAAGCGUGGGGAGCAAACAGGAUUAGAUACCCUGGUAGUCCACGCUGUAAACGAUGUCGAUUUGGGGGUUGAGCUUUGAGCUUGGCGCCCGUAGCUAACGUGAUAAAUCGACCGCCUGGGGAGUACGGCCGCAAGGUURAAACUCAAAKGAAUUGACGGGGGCCCGCACAAGCGGUGGAGCAUGUGGUUUAAUUCGAYGCAACGCGAAGAACCUUACCUACUCUUGACAUCCAGA